RNAcentral lists this ribosomal RNA (1343 nucleotides) under uncultured bacterium. RNAcentral describes it as "16S ribosomal RNA". It matches the Rfam family "Bacterial small subunit ribosomal RNA", at positions 28 to 1378 of the family's 1533-position model. The record is from RNAcentral.
GACGAACGCUGGCGGCGUGCUUAACACAUGCAAGUCGAACGGAAAGGCCCUGCUUUUGUGGGGUGCUCGAGUGGCGAACGGGUGAGUAACACGUGAGUAACCUGCCCUUGACUUUGGGAUAACUUCGGGAAACUGGGGCUAAUACCGGAUAGGUGCUCCUGCUGCAUGGUGGGGGUUGGAAAGUUUCGGCGGUUGGGGAUGGACUCGCGGCUUAUCAGCUUGUUGGUGGGGUAGUGGCUUACCAAGGCUUUGACGGGUAGCCGGCCUGAGAGGGUGACCGGCCACAUUGGGACUGAGAUACGGCCCAGACUCCUACGGGAGGCAGCAGUGGGGAAUAUUGCACAAUGGGCGGAAGCCUGAUGCAGCAACGCCGCGUGCGGGAUGACGGCCUUCGGGUUGUAAACCGCUUUCGCCUGUGACGAAGCGUGAGUGACGGUAAUGGGUAAAGAAGCACCGGCUAACUACGUGCCAGCAGCCGCGGUGAUACGUAGGGUGCGAGCGUUGUCCGGAUUUAUUGGGCGUAAAGGGCUCGUAGGUGGUUGAUCGCGUCGGAAGUGUAAUCUUGGGGCUUAACCCUGAGCGUGCUUUCGAUACGGGUUGACUUGAGGAAGGUAGGGGAGAAUGGAAUUCCUGGUGGAGCGGUGGAAUGCGCAGAUAUCAGGAGGAACACCAGUGGCGAAGGCGGUUCUCUGGGCCUUUCCUGACGCUGAGGAGCGAAAGCGUGGGGAGCGAACAGGCUUAGAUACCCUGGUAGUCCACGCUGUAAACGGUGGGUACUAGGUGUGGGGUCCAUUCCACGGGUUCCGUGCCGUAGCUAACGCUUUAAGUACCCCGCCUGGGGAGUACGGCCGCAAGGCUAAAGCUCAAAGGAAUUGACGGGGCCCCGCACAAGCGGCGGAGCAUGCGGAUUAAUUCGAUGCAACGCGUAGAACCUUACCUGGGUUUGACAUGGAUCGGGAGUGCUCAGAGAUGGGUGUGCCUCUUUUGGGGUCGGUUCACAGGUGGUGCAUGGCUGUCGUCAGCUCGUGUCGUGAGAUGUUGGGUCAAGUCCCGCAACGAGCGCAACCCUUGUUCACUGUUGCCAGCACGUUAUGGUGGGGACUCAGUGGAGACCGCCGGGGUCAACUCGGAGGAAGGUGGGGAUGACGUCAAGUCAUCAUGCCCCUUAUGUCCAGGGCUUCACGCAUGCUACAAUGGCUGGUACAGAGAGUGGCGAGCCUGUGAGGGUGAGCGAAUCUCGGAAAGCCGGUCUCAGUUCGGAUUGGGGUCUGCGACUCGACCUCAUGAAGUCGGAGUCGCUAGUAAUCGCAGAUCAGCAACGCUGCGGUGAAUACGUUCCCGGG